GUCCAUGCCCUAAACGUUGAAUACUCGAUGUGUGCGAUAUACAGUACGCGUCUAAGCGAAAGCAUUAAGUAUUCCACCUGGGGAGUACGCUCGCAAGGGUGAAACUCAAAGGAAUUGACGGGGGCCCCGCACAAGCGGUGGAGCAUGUGGUUUAAUUCGAUGAUACGCGAGGAACCUUACCUGGGCUUGAAAGUUAGUGACCGCUCCUGAAAGGGAGCUUUUCUUCGGAACACGAAACUAGGUGCUGCAUGGCUGUCGU
Molecule: ribosomal RNA, 259 nt
Filed under: uncultured bacterium
Lineage: Bacteria
Description: partial 16S ribosomal RNA
Rfam family: Bacterial small subunit ribosomal RNA
Source: RNAcentral